AGCCUCUUUGCAGUCAGUGCCCAGCCGUGCAAGGGGCAGCCGCCCUGGCCCAGCCACAGCGGGUGAGUCUCUUCAGCUGUGCAGACAGACCAGAGGGGCAGACACAGUGAAGGCGGUGUCUGACCCCGCGCUGUCCCCAACGUUGUGCAUGCAGGCACCGAGACUCCCUCUCCCAGACUCCCGGAAUAUCGCCUCUGCACGCUCCUCUCCGCCCCGCAGGGCUCGCCUUUGUCAUCCACCCCAGAGCAGGGCCCUAGCCGCCCAGAAGGGCCGACACCAAGGAGGGCAGAGGCCGGCGCCGCUGGAGCUGUGGGAUCCAGGAGCUCACGGACCCGUGGCGCCCUUCGUCGCGAUGGCCGGUCGCUGUUCCUGAGUUCCCCGUUCACACGGGCCGCCGGACCUUACAGGAGGCCCCUAUCGAGCGGGGCGCCCUCGCGCGGCCCUUCCGGAAGGACAGACCGGAGGGCGCACCCGGCCGGGCCCAUCAGACUGCCUGGCCGAGUAACUCGAGACCGGCGACAUGUGGCCCAAGUCUCCCCAGAGCGAGGAGGGCCACCCCCCGGCCGGAUUCCCUGGUCUCGGGGGACAGAGCUGGGUCAGAGGCAGAAUUUGUCAUCUGAUUAAGUUGAGAGACCCCAUUCCCGUCUGAAGACCGAGGACUGUCCUGGAGGGUGGGGGACAGCGCUGACAGGCGCGCGCGCAGUCUCAGGCUGGCAUUUCACGAUCCGGGCUCCUUCCGGGCCCUGGGUUCUCCUCGCUGUCCGGGGACCGCGGCAGGUCCCAGCCCUUCCCGCAGGGACUCGGCUGUUGGCGGAGGCGCACGCCUGGCUGGGUGACCACCCCUCCUUGCUACAAGCCCAGAGAGGGUCCUGGGGUGGCCUCUGCAGUCAGGCCGCGCCCCUGCGCACUGAGACGGAAGGAGGCCCAGUGCCGGGCGUGGGCUGUGGAGAGUUCCGGAAGGGGCUGGCGGGGUUGAGCGGACUCCUCACAGGUGCAGAGAAGACUGGGCCCCGGGCGGACCCCCCCCCGCAUCUCCGGUGAAUUUGAGGGGCCAAGAGCAAGGCGAGCUCCAGCCUCAGCUGAACCUGCGCAGGCACCCGGAACACCAGCCGCCCUAUCUCCCGCCCGAGGCCCGGGCUGGCCUGGCCCCGGGGCAGCCCCUCAGCGGCGUCUCUAGCGCGCCCGCUUCGCCGCCUUUGGCCUUCCCGAGGCCGCCGCCCGACCGAGGUGUCAGCGCGAGCGCUCCUCUGCUGCCCCCUGGUGGAUCUGAGGGCAGAGAGACCCAGGCUGAAGGGGCUGCCCUGGGUCUGGAGGUAGAAUAGAGAAAAUACAGGAAUCUCCAAAAAAUUCCUACGUGUCUUAAAGACGCAAUAAGCCUAUAAAUUGGGCUCUGAGCCUGUGCUUUUCACCUGUAAAUUACUUUCUCCCCCAGGCCUCCACCGCAAGGAAGCAGCAAUUCUCAGCUUCAGACAAAGGCGAAAGGUUUGCUUUCUGGCCCAGUUGCUGGAUGGAUGACCUGAGGAGCAGGACAUGCAUCCCCGACCCCCCAAGCCCCUGGAAUUUACCUGGCUCCUGAUCACAAUACUCUCUCUCUCUCUCUCUCUCUCUCUCCCCUGCAUUGUUUUUUUGACACAUACUUUAAAUUUCCAUCUAAUAAACCUCUUUGUGUUUCUAACUGCCCAGUCCUGCUCAGCUCAGCCGAAGUCCAGGACACCUCCCUGGUCCUAGCUCCCGAUCUGGAGGUGGGGACGGCCCUCGGGAGGCUCCUCGGUGGGACAGAUGUGAAGGAAUGAACAGUGGGGCAGAAACUAUCCUGAGAGCGUGCUCGGGUGUAGCAUGCAGAUGGGGGAGAACAGUGGGGUGCGCUGACCCAGCCACCACCUCUGCCACAGCCUCGGGCUCAGCCAUGUGCAGGUGGAAGGGGUGACAGAUACCCCGGGACUGGACAGAGCCAAACCACAAGGGAGCUAACGUCACCAGCACCUUGCAGGGUCAUCCGAGCCUGCGUUACUUCCCCCCAGGCCUAACCCACCAACAGGUCCACCUGAUCAUCUGCUCUAAGCUUCCUAGCGUAGGCCAGACACCUGGCCCUGCCCACUGAGGACCAGGGCUUUUGCAUUUGCUGUUCCUUUAAAUCCCCACCUGAGACUGACCUGGCCAAGGUGACAGCCUGCAGAGGCAGGAUUUGAACCCACAUCUGAAAGCAGAGUCAUUGUCUGCAAGGCAUCUGGCUGAGUGAUUUGCUUUGUUUGAUUUGCUUUUUUAGGACGAGAUGAUGAUGCAGUCUCAAGGGCGGCCGCACAGGGGAAAUCUGAGUGUACAACCAGCCCAGCUCUGUCCUCACAGCCUCGGCACAGAGUUGCCCUCACUGAGCGGCAGCAGUGAGGGCGGUUUUGGAGCAGGGACACCAUGCCCCUUUGUACACGGUGGGCUUGGGAGCUCGAGAUGCACACCCAGACCUCCACACUGUCACCUUCGUCCGUUCCCCAGGGAACCACACAGCUGCACCAGCCCUUCUCCCAUCCCUGGUUUCCCCAAGCAAACCCAAGACUCACAGCUGAGCUCAGGGCCCAUGUCCCACAGCCAGGAUCCCAGGAAGGCCAAAGCAGCAGUCCGUCCCUCCUCCAUUCCUCCACCCGCCCCAUCCGUUCUCCCCAAACCCUGCACCCUCCCCUCCACACCUCCCUGCACUCAUCCCCACACCCCUCAACCUCCUUCCGACCAUUCAGCCUCCACCCACCCAUCCCUGCCACAUCCCUGUCCAUCCUCCAGCCAGAAAAUAUUUCCUGAGCUCUGGCUCCAUUCAUGAGGGAGGAGAAGAGGCUGUUUCCACGCUUCCCAACAUGACUGGGUGAAGGAAUUAUUCCUACAUCCAACCCCGUGAACACACAUUUUGCAAAUUCCGUUUGGAGCUGCAUCAUGCAAAUCCAGCUGUCACAAUUUCCUGGGAAGUUAUAGGUGUAGAAAAAAGACCAUCUGGCCCACUGGAGUCAGAGUGUGCCUGCCUAGGUUGCUGGGUGUGGAAUCUUUACAUUUCAUCUGAGAAGGCAAAAUAAAGACUUUCUG
Molecule: long non-coding RNA, 3066 nt
Organism: Fukomys damarensis (Damara mole-rat)
Lineage: Eukaryota; Metazoa; Chordata; Mammalia; Rodentia; Bathyergidae
Exons: 3
Source: RefSeq, a predicted model, not a curated record